Molecule: ribosomal RNA, 311 nt
Filed under: uncultured bacterium
Lineage: Bacteria
Description: bacterial SSU rRNA
Rfam family: Bacterial small subunit ribosomal RNA
Source: RNAcentral
AACGAACGCUGGCGGCGCGUUUUAAGCAUGCAAGUCGAACGGUAGAGUAGUGCUUGCACUACUUGAGAGUGGCGAACGGGUGAGUAACGCGUAGAUGAUCUGCCUUUCGGUUGGGGAUAGCCUAUGGAAACAUGGGGUAAUACCGAAUGAGCUCCUUGUGUUUUGACACUUGGAGGAAAGGGGCUUCGGCCUCGCCGAGGGAUGAGUCUGCGUAUGAUUAGCUAGUUGGUGGGGUAAAGGCCUACCAAGGCGACGAUCAUUAGCCGGCCUGAGAGGGUGACCGGCCACAUUGGGACUGAGACACGGCCCAG